RNAcentral lists this long non-coding RNA (1401 nucleotides) under Mytilus galloprovincialis (Mediterranean mussel). Lineage: Eukaryota; Metazoa; Mollusca; Bivalvia; Mytilida; Mytilidae. The record is from RNAcentral.
CAAAAACAAUAUUUGUAGACAACAUACAUAAUAUAUAAAAACAUAUUAAUAUCAUAUACAUAAUUUGAUAUAUAUAAAUAAUAUCUCUGGUUAAACCUUUACCUUUUAUAGCUAACAAGCAUUAAAAUAUUUGUGCAUAAUUAUAACAUGAAAGACUUUAAUUUGAAGAGAAUAGAUGUAGAAAAGGUAACAUGAAUAGACUAUGUUUAUGUAACCGACUUUUGACUCUGGAGUAUAUAAUUUUUCAACAGGUUACCUUUUCUGUGGUAGAACAUUCUGGUACUAGGUCAAGAAAGAGCAACUGAAAGAAGUAAAAUCAAGAUGACAACUGAUGCAACUUAUGGAAAAAUUAACAGUUUUCACAUGAUUUUGUAGUGUAUAAAAAACAAAAAACAGUUAAUUUCCCCCUAAAAAUUUACCAAUUGUAAGCAUUAUUUUUUAGUUGUUUUUACCAAUAUGUUUAACAAUAUAGUAGAAAAUUAACUGUUAAAAAAUUCUAAACUGCUGACUAAGGAGGUUGGUUAUAUGAAAAUAGUCUAUUACAAUAUACACCACAUAUGUUAACCAAUACUCCAGCAAUUGGUUAGUUUUCAUUUUGCAUUAUUUUUAUCUAUGAUACUAAGCUUCUCUAAAAAUAAACUUAUGCAAUGGGAUAUUUUCGCAGUUUUAAUAAAAUUGAGAAAGUAGCGAAAAUAAGCCAACUGAGUUGAGAGGAAAUUUCCCUCUUUCAAGAUUGAUAUUAGAUCAAUGCAAUAUUAGUUUAAUGAAACCUCCAAUUGUAACCUUCCAAGACAAUACAAGGGGCAUAACUUUUACUCUUGAACUGAAAUUUCUGCAGCAAUGAGUUGAAUUUGACCUGCAUUUCAUGGAAGUUAUUAUAAUACUGCAAAGAUUCAAAAUACUUUACUCCUAUGCAAAUUAAAAUUAUCAGCCAGAAUCUGAGUUUCGAAUGGAUAGUUGGCAUAUACAGUAACAACUAUAUAAACAUGUAUGUUUCUCUUAAAUAAAAUUCUGGGAGCAACAAAAUUUAUAAAAUUUAAAUCUAUUUUGACAUGGUAAAGCAGCUUGAUUCAGGAUUUUUACUAUAGAUUUUCUAAUUCUAUCUGAAAAAAUUUCUUUUGUAAUCUAACAGUUUUAUUAACAAAGUUUUGUUAAAAAAAAAAGAAUUGACAACUUUCAGGAAAAUUUGCCCGUGUAGAAUUAAAUGCAUUCUGGGAAAUAUUUGCAUAAGCUUCCACGAAACUGUUGUGGUUCACUUACAUGAUAUCGUAAUUAAUAAUAUUUACAACCUAUGAUGUAAUGUUGUUGACACUUUGGGGUACAAAUAAUGAAAUUGCCCAUAAUCACACAGAUUUUGAAAUGGCAAAUUAGUUAACACUUGUAGAGUUUAUGCAGUUAAAU